This 66-nucleotide transfer RNA is filed under the name Anomalurus pusillus. RNAcentral's name for it is "tRNA-Lys". The record is from RNAcentral. Lineage: Eukaryota; Metazoa; Chordata; Mammalia; Rodentia; Anomaluridae.
CAUUAUGAAGCUAAUUUAGCAUUAACCUUUUAAGUUAAAGAUUGGAAAACUAUUUUCCCAUAAUGA